UACGAAGGGGGCUAGCGUUGCUCGGAAUCACUGGGCGUAAAGGGCGCGUAGGCGGCCUGCUAAGUCGAACGUGAAAUCCCUGGGCUCAACCCAGGAACUGCGUCCGAUACUGGUUGGCUUGAAUCCGGGAGAGGGACGUGGAAUUCCAGGUGUAGCGGUGAAAUGCGUAGAUAUCUGGAGGAACACCGGUGGCGAAGGCGACGUCCUGGACCGGCAUUGACGCUGAGGCGCGAAAGCCAGGGGAGCAAACGGG
This 253-nucleotide ribosomal RNA is filed under the name uncultured bacterium. RNAcentral's name for it is "partial 16S ribosomal RNA". It matches the Rfam family "Bacterial small subunit ribosomal RNA", at positions 524 to 776 of the family's 1533-position model. The record is from RNAcentral.